AGCGAACGCUGGCAGCAGGCUUAACACAUGCAAGUCGAACGCAUCCUUCGGGGUGAGUGGCAGACGGGUGAGUAACACGUGGGAACGUGCCCUCAGGUCUGGGAUAACCCUGGGAAACUAGGGCUAAUACCGGAUACGUGCUUUGGCAGAAAGGUUUUACUGCCGGAGGAUCGGCCCGCGUCUGAUUAGCUAGUUGGUGGGGUAACGGCCUACCAAGGCGACGAUCAGUAGCUGGUCUGAGAGGAUGAUCAGCCACACUGGGACUGAGACACGGCCCAGACUCCUACGGGAGGCAGCAGUGGGGAAUAUUGGACAAUGGGCGCAAGCCUGAUCCAGCCAUGCCGCGUGAGUGAUGACGGCCUUAGGGUUGUAAAGCUCUUUUCUCCGGGACGAUAAUGACGGUACCGGAGGAAUAAGCCCCGGCUAACUUCGUG
Molecule: ribosomal RNA, 434 nt
Filed under: uncultured bacterium
Lineage: Bacteria
Description: bacterial SSU rRNA
Rfam family: Bacterial small subunit ribosomal RNA
Source: RNAcentral